Molecule: ribosomal RNA, 341 nt
Filed under: uncultured Glomeromycotina
Lineage: Eukaryota; Fungi; Glomeromycota
Description: eukaryotic LSU rRNA
Source: RNAcentral
AUCAGCCUUUUGGGUGUGAUUUUGUGGAGUGUGAAGAGUUAAACGCCUUCAUGCCUGCAUAUUCGUGCACUUUGGGUGUACUUGCCCGUGUGGUUGGUUAACAUCAAUUUUGGUGGUCAUAAAAUGACUGGAGGAAUGUAGCUUCGAUCUCGUAUUGAAGUAUUAUAGCCUUCGGUAGAUGUGAUGAUCGAGAUUGAGGAUUGCAACGGAUACCCUUCGGGGCUACCUGUCUGGUCUCUGAUCGUUGCUCUGGUGCCGAAAGCUUGCUUACGGUUAUCAAAGUCGAUGGUCAAUAGGUUAGAAUGGGUUAAAUUCGUUAAGGAUGUUGACGUAAUGGCUUU